UACGUAGGGUGCGAGCGUUAAUCGGAAUUACUGGGCGUAAAGGGCGCGUAGGCGGCUCUGCGAGUCUUUUGUGAAAUCCCUCGGCUCAACUGAGGAUGUGCGGAAGAAACUGCAGGGCUGGAGUCCGGGAGAGGAGGGUGGAAUUCCCAGUGUAGCGGUGAAAUGCGUAGAUAUUGGGAGGAACACCGGUGGCGAAGGCGGCCCUCUGGACCGGUACUGACGCUGAUGCGCGAAAGCGUGGGGAGCAAACGGG
This 253-nucleotide ribosomal RNA is filed under the name uncultured bacterium. Its description in RNAcentral is "partial 16S ribosomal RNA". It matches the Rfam family "Bacterial small subunit ribosomal RNA", at positions 524 to 776 of the family's 1533-position model. The record is from RNAcentral.